GCCUAACACAUGCAAGUCGAGCGGAAACGAGUUAACUGAACCUUCGGGGGACGUUAACGGCGUCGAGCGGCGGACGGGUGAGUAAUGCCUAGGAAAUUGCCCUGAUGUGGGGGAUAACCAUUGGAAACGAUGGCUAAUACCGCAUGAUGCCUACGGGCCAAAGAGGGGGACCUUCGGGCCUCUCGCGUCAGGAUAUGCCUAGGUGGGAUUAGCUAGUUGGUGAGGUAAGGGCUCACCAAGGCGACGAUCCCUAGCUGGUCUGAGAGGAUGAUCAGCCACACUGGAACUGAGACACGGUCCAGACUCCUACGGGAGGCAGCAGUGGGGAAUAUUGCACAAUGGGCGCAAGCCUGAUGCAGCCAUGCCGCGUGUGUGAAGAAGGCCUUCGGGUUGUAAAGCACUUUCAGUCGUGAGGAAGGUAGUGUAGUUAAUAGCUGCAUUAUUUGACGUUAGCGACAGAAGAAGCACCGGCUAACUCCGUGCCAGCAGCCGCGGUAAUACGGAGGGUGCGAGCGUUAAUCGGAAUUACUGGGCGUAAAGCGCAUGCAGGUGGUUUGUUAAGUCAGAUGUGAAAGCCCGGGGCUCAACCUCGGAAUAGCAUUUGAAACUGGCAGACUAGAGUACUGUAGAGGGGGGUAGAAUUUCAGGUGUAGCGGUGAAAUGCGUAGAGAUCUGAAGGAAUACCGGUGGCGAAGGCGGCCCCCUGGACAGAUACUGACACUCAGAUGCGAAAGCGUGGGGAGCAAACAGGAUUAGAUACCCUGGUAGUCCACGCCGUAAACGAUGUCUACUUGGAGGUUGUGGCCUUGAGCCGUGGCUUUCGGAGCUAACGCGUUAAGUAGACCGCCUGGGGAGUACGGUCGCAAGAUUAAAACUCAAAUGAAUUGACGGGGGCCCGCACAAGCGGUGGAGCAUGUGGUUUAAUUCGAUGCAACGCGAAGAACCUUACCUACUCUUGACAUCCAGAGAACUUUCCAGAGAUGGAUUGGUGCCUUCGGGAACUCUGAGACAGGUGCUGCAUGGCUGUCGUCAGCUCGUGUUGUGAAAUGUUGGGUUAAGUCCCGCAACGAGCGCAACCCUUAUCCUUGUUUGCCAGCGAGUAAUGUCGGGAACUCCAGGGAGACUGCCGGUGAUAAACCGGAGGAAGGUGGGGACGACGUCAAGUCAUCAUGGCCCUUACGAGUAGGGCUACACACGUGCUACAAUGGCGCAUACAGAGGGCGGCCAACUUGCGAAAGUGAGCGAAUCCCAAAAAGUGCGUCGUAGUCCGGAUUGGAGUCUGCAACUCGACUCCAUGAAGUCGGAAUCGCUAGUAAUCGUGGAUCAGAAUGCCACGGUGAAUACGUUCCCGGGCCUUGUACACACCGCCCGUCACACCAUGGGAGUGGGCUGCAAAAGAAGUAGGUAGUUUAACCUUCGGGGGGACGCUUACCACUUUGUGGUUCAUGACUGGGGUGAAGUCGUAACA
RNAcentral lists this ribosomal RNA (1468 nucleotides) under Vibrio natriegens. Its description in RNAcentral is "16S ribosomal RNA". It matches the Rfam family "Bacterial small subunit ribosomal RNA". Lineage: Bacteria; Pseudomonadati; Pseudomonadota; Gammaproteobacteria; Vibrionales; Vibrionaceae. The record is from RNAcentral.